CCUACGUGAGGCAGCAGUGGGGAAUAUUGCGCAAUGGGCGAAAGUCUGACGCAGCGACGCCGCGUGAGGGAUGAAGGUCCUCGGAGUGUUAACCUCUGUCAGCAGGGGAGUACGGUCACUGUGCUAUUCAGCAGUGUAUUGACGGUACCUGCAAGGGAAGCAUCGGCUAACUCCGUGCCAGCAGCUGCGGUGAAACGUAGGGUGAGUGUGGUAAUUGGAAUUACUGGGCGUAAAGCGAUCGUAGGCGGUAUGUCAAGUCAAGGGUGAACUCCCCGGGCUCAACGUGGGAACUGCAUUUGAGACUGGCAAGCUGGAGUGUGUGAGAGGAAAGUGGAAUUCCUGGUGGAGGAGUGAAAUGCGUAGAUAUCAGGAAGAACAUCAGUGGCGAAGGCGACUAACUGG
RNAcentral lists this ribosomal RNA (402 nucleotides) under uncultured bacterium. RNAcentral describes it as "partial 16S ribosomal RNA". It matches the Rfam family "Bacterial small subunit ribosomal RNA", at positions 338 to 732 of the family's 1533-position model. The record is from RNAcentral.